RNAcentral lists this ribosomal RNA (465 nucleotides) under Vreelandella stevensii. Its description in RNAcentral is "partial 16S ribosomal RNA". It matches the Rfam family "Bacterial small subunit ribosomal RNA", at positions 338 to 795 of the family's 1533-position model. Lineage: Bacteria; Pseudomonadati; Pseudomonadota; Gammaproteobacteria; Oceanospirillales; Halomonadaceae. The record is from RNAcentral.
CCUACGGGGGGCUGCAGUGGGGAAUAUUGGACAAUGGGGGCAACCCUGAUCCAGCCAUGCCGCGUGUGUGAAGAAGGCCCUCGGGUUGUAAAGCACUUUCAGUGAGGAAGAACGCCUGGUGGUUAAUACCCAUCAGGAAAGACAUCACUCACAGAAGAAGCACCGGCUAACUCCGUGCCAGCAGCCGCGGUAAUACGGAGGGUGCGAGCGUUAAUCGGAAUUACUGGGCGUAAAGCGCGUGUAGGUGGCUUGAUAAGCCGGUUGUGAAAGCCCCGGGCUCAACCUGGGAACGGCAUCCGGAACUGUCAAGCUAGAGUGCAGGAGAGGAAGGUAGAAUUCCCGGUGUAGCGGUGAAAUGCGUAGAGAUCGGGAGGAAUACCAGUGGCGAAGGCGGCCUUCUGGACUGACACUGACACUGAGGUGCGAAAGCGUGGGUAGCAAACAGGAUUAGAUACCCCUGUAGUC